RNAcentral lists this unclassified non-coding RNA (240 nucleotides) under soil metagenome. RNAcentral describes it as "partial contains 5.8S ribosomal RNA, internal transcribed spacer 2, and large subunit ribosomal RNA". The record is from RNAcentral.
AACUGAUACUACCUGCGGGAACCUGCGGAGGGAUCAUUAAAGAGUUGCAAGACUCCCAAACCAUUGUGAACGUUACCCACACCGUUGCUUCGGCGGGCGGCCCGGGCCCUGCCCGGCGCCCCCCGGCCCCUCGCGGGCGCCCGCCGGAGGUAAACCAAACUCUUGAAUUGUAUGGCCUCUCUGAGUCUUCUGUACUGAAUAAGUCAAAACUUUCAACAACGGAUCUCUAGAUCGGAAGAG